UACAGAGGUCCCAAGCGUUGUUCGGAUUCACUGGGCGUAAAGGGUGCGUAGGUGGCCGGCUAAGUCUGACGUGAAAUCUCCGAGCCUAACUCGGAAACUGCGUCGGAAACUAUCCGGCUCGAGGGUUGGAGGGGGGACUGGAAUACUUGGUGUAGCAGUGAAAUGCGUAGAUAUCAAGUGGAACACCAGUGGCGAAGGCGAGUCCCUGGACAACUCCUGACACUGAGGCACGAAAGCUAGGGGAGCAAACAGG
This 253-nucleotide ribosomal RNA is filed under the name uncultured bacterium. RNAcentral's name for it is "partial 16S ribosomal RNA". It matches the Rfam family "Bacterial small subunit ribosomal RNA", at positions 524 to 776 of the family's 1533-position model. The record is from RNAcentral.